GGUUAAGCGAAUAAGCGUACACGGUGGAUGCCUAGGCAAUCAGAGGCGAUGAGGGACGUGCUAAUCUGCGAAAAGCGUCGGUAAGGUGAUAUGAACCGUUAUACCCGACGAUAUCCGAAUGGGGAAACCCAGUAUCCAAUGGAUACUAUCAUUAACUGAAUCCAUAGGUUAAUGAGGCGAACCUGGAGAACUGAAACAUCUCAGUACCCCGAGGAAAAGAAAUCAACCGAGAUUCCCCUAGUAGCGGCUAGCGAACGGGGAGCAGCCCAGAGUCUUAAUCAAUAGCAGUGUCAGGAGAAC
RNAcentral lists this ribosomal RNA (300 nucleotides) under Proteus mirabilis. RNAcentral's name for it is "partial 23S ribosomal RNA". It matches the Rfam family "Bacterial large subunit ribosomal RNA", at positions 1 to 309 of the family's 2925-position model. The record is from RNAcentral. Lineage: Bacteria; Pseudomonadati; Pseudomonadota; Gammaproteobacteria; Enterobacterales; Morganellaceae.